This 441-nucleotide long non-coding RNA is filed under the name Phoenix dactylifera (date palm). Its description in RNAcentral is "long non-coding RNA (PDAC_LNC004562)". The record is from RNAcentral. Lineage: Eukaryota; Viridiplantae; Streptophyta; Magnoliopsida; Arecales; Arecaceae.
GUCUAAGAUAAGGGUAGAUAGAUGUGCGAGCGUGCCAUCAACAUCGGGCUAGCUGCAAAGAUGGUAAUCCGAGAGAAGAUAAAGAGUAGCGUAAGUUCAAGUACCAUGACCUUCAAAGACUUUUGCCACUGUCAUACCACCAUUUAAAGAAGAUGGAUUUGGAUAGAGAUAAGGGUGUAGUACUAGGCUAUGGUGGUAGAAAUUUUAACUUACAAUUACUUUUAGGGUAGAAGCUACUGGUAGAUUAAGAGCUACGAUAAGAUAAAAUAUAUUAAUAUGGAUUGUCGAAGGAUUUUUUUAGAAAGUACAAAUUUAUUUAUUUAUACUAAAAGACAAUAACUGCCCACUCUGAUAGUUUCCAUCACCUAUGGCCUCUACUCUUGGCAGUUCUAAUAACUAACACCAGUCUUCCUCCCACUAUAAAUGUUUAUUGGCAUAGUU